AAACGNAUACAUACUCAGCGGGCGAACGGGUGAGUAACACGUGGGUAAUCUUCCUCCGAGCGUGGGAUAACUUUCCGAAAGCNNGGAGUCUAAUACUGGAUAGUCCCGAGAGGUCAUAGGAUUUGGCUGGUAACCAUUUAUUGCUCGUGAGAUGAGCCCGCCCCCCUAUUAUCUAGUUGAGUGACGUAAUGGCUCUCCACUGCGACAAUCGGUUCCCGGCCUGAGAGGAUGAUUAGCCACGUUGGAACUGACACUCCGUCCCUACUCAUUGCUGAUGCGCUUGUUUUGAAUGUUGCUCACUGGCCGCAA
RNAcentral lists this ribosomal RNA (309 nucleotides) under Leptospira borgpetersenii. RNAcentral describes it as "bacterial SSU rRNA". It matches the Rfam family "Bacterial small subunit ribosomal RNA", at positions 77 to 380 of the family's 1533-position model. The record is from RNAcentral. Lineage: Bacteria; Pseudomonadati; Spirochaetota; Leptospiria; Leptospirales; Leptospiraceae.